GACGGAGAAUUAGGGUUCGAUUCCGGAGAGGGAGCCUGAGAGACGGCUACCACAUCUAAGGAAGGCAGCAGGCGCGCAAAUUACCCAAUCCUGACUCAGGGAGGUAGUGACCAGAAAUAACGACGACGGGUUUCGAUUCGUCGAUUGCAAUGAGCACAAUGUAAAAUUCUUAGCGAGUACCGACUGGAGGGCAAGUCUGGUGCCAGCAGCCGCGGUAAUUCCAGCUCCAGUAGCGUAUAUUAAAGUUGUUGCAGUUAAAAAGCUCGUAGUUGGACGUCUCUGCGACACGCAGCUCCGCCACGCAACUAGAUACGUUCUUAACUGAACGGUCUAGACCUGCGGGCCCUUUACCCUGAGGAAACUAGAGUGUUUAAGGCAGGCUGAGCCUGAAUACUGCAGCUGGGAAUAAUGCGCACGACUGUCUUGGCGAGGCAGCUCCACACUUUUAAUAGGAACAGUUGGGGGCAUUCGUACUCAGCAGUCAGAGGUGAAAUUCUUGGAUUUGCUGAAGACGGACUAAUGCGAAAGCAUUUGCCAAGGAUGUUUUCAUUAAUCAAGAACGAAAGUUAAGGGAUCCAAGACGAUCAGAUACCGUCCUAGUCUUAACCAUAAACGAUGCCGACUAGGGAUCGGGGGAGACGCACAAACUCUCUCGGCACCUCACGAGAAAUCCAAGUCUUUGGGUUCUGGGGGGAGUAUGGUCGCAAGACUGGAACUUAAAGGAAUUGACGGAAGGGCACCACAAGGAGUGGAGCCUGCGGCUUAAUUUGACCCAACACGGGGAAACUUACCAGGUCCAGACAUAGUGAGGAUUGACAGAUUGACAGCUCUUUCUUGAUCCUAUGGGUGGUGGUGCAUGGCCGUUCCUAGUUGGUGGAGUGAUCUGUCUGGUUAAUUCCGAUAACGAACGAGACCUCAGCCUGCUAACUAGAUCUUCUUAGAGGGACUUCCUGCUCGCGUGGGAGGAAGUGAGGCAAUAACAGGUCUGUGAUGCCCUUAGAUGUCCUGGGCCGCACGCGCGCUACACUGACGCAACCUGCAAGUUCCAAGCCUGUCAAGGUCUGGCAAACUGCCAACUGCGUCGUAGUUGGAACUGACCCUUGCAAUUCUUGGUCACAAACCAGGAAUUCCUAGUAAGCGCAAGUCAUCAGCUUGCACUGACUAAGUCCCUGCCCUUUGUACACACCGCCCGUCGCUCCUACCGAUUCCGAGUGAUCAGGUGAACCUCUCGGACCCUGGAAGUUAAGUGAACCUUAUCACUUAGAGGAAGGAGAAGUCGUAACAAGGUA
This 1289-nucleotide ribosomal RNA is filed under the name metagenome. RNAcentral's name for it is "SSU rRNA". It matches the Rfam family "Eukaryotic small subunit ribosomal RNA", at positions 360 to 1801 of the family's 1831-position model. The record is from RNAcentral.